AGAGAGCGAGGGGGCGGA
RNAcentral lists this transfer RNA (18 nucleotides) under Hoya mariae. RNAcentral describes it as "partial tRNA-His". Lineage: Eukaryota; Viridiplantae; Streptophyta; Magnoliopsida; Gentianales; Apocynaceae. The record is from RNAcentral.